AACGAACGCUGGCGGCAUGCCUAACACAUGCGAGUCGAACGAGACCUUCGGGUCUAGUGGCGCACGGGUGCGUAACGCGUGGGAACCUGCCCUUAGGUUCGGAAUAACUCCCCGAAAGGGGUGCUAAUACCGGAUAAUGUCUUCGGACCAAAGAUUUAUCGCCUUUGGAUGGGCCCGCGUUGGAUUAGCUAGUUGGUAGGGUAAAAGCCUACCAAGGCGACGAUCCAUAGCUGGUCUGAGAGGAUGAUCAGCCACACUGGGACUGAGACACGGCCCAGACUCCUACGGGAGGCAGCAGUGGGGAAUAUUGGACAAUGGGCGAAAGCCUGAUCCAGCAAUGCCGCGUGAGUGAUGAAGGCCUUAGGGUUGUAAAGCUCUUUUACCCGGAUGAUAAUGACAGUACCGGGAGAAUAAGCUCCGGCUAACUCCGUG
RNAcentral lists this ribosomal RNA (432 nucleotides) under uncultured bacterium. Its description in RNAcentral is "partial 16S ribosomal RNA". It matches the Rfam family "Bacterial small subunit ribosomal RNA", at positions 29 to 507 of the family's 1533-position model. The record is from RNAcentral.